AGGACGUUGAUAGGCAUGGUGUGUAAGCGUUGUGAGGCGUUGAGCUAACAUGUACUAAUGACUCGAGAGGCUUAACCAUACAACCCAGAUGGGUUUU
Molecule: ribosomal RNA, 97 nt
Filed under: Shewanella baltica
Lineage: Bacteria; Pseudomonadati; Pseudomonadota; Gammaproteobacteria; Alteromonadales; Shewanellaceae
Description: partial 23S ribosomal RNA
Source: RNAcentral